GAUCGGUCGCCUCGUAACAGAGGGCCAUGAACCUCGUCAGGUCCGGAAGGAAGCAGCGAUAAGUGAUACCUUCUGUGUCGUGGAUUGAUCCCGGUCA
Molecule: signal recognition particle RNA, 97 nt
Filed under: Desulfobacter latus
Lineage: Bacteria; Pseudomonadati; Thermodesulfobacteriota; Desulfobacteria; Desulfobacterales; Desulfobacteraceae
Also listed under: 3 other names
Description: Bacterial small signal recognition particle RNA
Rfam family: Bacterial small signal recognition particle RNA
About the family: The signal recognition particle (SRP) is a universally conserved ribonucleoprotein involved in the co-translational targeting of proteins to membranes.
Source: Rfam by way of RNAcentral